AGCCGAAACAGCGGCAGAGAGCCGCUGUCUGCCGGAACUGGUCUACCGGCACUGAUGAUGGCAGACCGGA
Molecule: non-coding RNA, 70 nt
Organism: Ruminococcus callidus ATCC 27760
Lineage: Bacteria; Bacillati; Bacillota; Clostridia; Eubacteriales; Oscillospiraceae
Source: Rfam